This 379-nucleotide ribosomal RNA is filed under the name uncultured soil bacterium. RNAcentral's name for it is "bacterial SSU rRNA". It matches the Rfam family "Bacterial small subunit ribosomal RNA", at positions 26 to 424 of the family's 1533-position model. The record is from RNAcentral.
AGAACGAACGCUGGCGGCAUGCCUAACACAUGCAAGUCGAACGAGACCUUCGGGUCUAGUGGCGCACGGGUGCGUAACGCGUGGGAAUCUGCCCUUGGGUUCGGGAUAACAGUUGGAAACGACUGCUAAUACCGGAUGAUGUCUUCGGACCAAAGAUUUAUCGCCCAAGGAUGAGCCCGCGUAGGAUUAGCUUGUUGGUGAGGUAAGAGCUCACCAAGGCGACGAUCCUUAGCUGGUCUGAGAGGAUGAUCAGCCACACUGGGACUGAGACACGGCCCAGACUCCUACGGGAGCGAGCGAGUGGGAAUAGUUGGACAAGUGGGACGUAAAGGCCUAGACUCCAGACAAUGCCGCGUGAGUGAUGAAGGCCGUUAGGGUU